CAAAGGUUUGGUCCUGGCCUUGUGGUCAGUUAUUACUUACUAUACACAUGCAAGUAUCCGCCCCCCUGUGAAAACGCCCUUCAACCCCCAUUAGGGACAAGGAGCCGGUAUCAGGCGCAAAAAUCCGCCCAAGACACCUAGCUACGCCACACCCACAAGGGAAUUCAGCAGUGAUUAACAUUGAGCAUUAGCGCAAGCUUGACUCAGUUAAAGUAAACAGAGCCGGCUAAUCUGGUGCCAGCCGCCGCGGUUACACCACGUGGCUCAAAUUGACCCCCUCCGGCGUAAAGCGUGAUUAAAGUUUCCACUUACUAGAGUUAAACUAAAACUAAGCUGUGACACGCCUGUUAUCAAGAAACCCAAAAACGAAAGUUACUCUAACAUAACCAACUUGAACUCACGACAGCUGGG
RNAcentral lists this ribosomal RNA (411 nucleotides) under Bufo japonicus (Japanese toad). RNAcentral describes it as "partial 12S ribosomal RNA". The record is from RNAcentral. RNAcentral also lists the same sequence under 1 other name. Lineage: Eukaryota; Metazoa; Chordata; Amphibia; Anura; Bufonidae.